This 549-nucleotide ribosomal RNA is filed under the name uncultured bacterium. Its description in RNAcentral is "bacterial SSU rRNA". It matches the Rfam family "Bacterial small subunit ribosomal RNA", at positions 355 to 896 of the family's 1533-position model. The record is from RNAcentral.
UGGGGAAUAUUGGACAAUGGGCGAAAGCCUGAUCCAGCCACGCCGCGUGUGUGAAGAAGGCCUUUUGGUUGUAAAGCACUUUAAGUGGGGAGGAAAAGCUUAUGGUUAAUACCCAUAAGCCCUGACGUUACCCACAGAAUAAGCACCGGCUAACUCUGUGCCAGCAGCCGCGGUAAUACAGAGGGUGCAAGCGUUAAUCGGAAUUACUGGGCGUAAAGCGCGCGUAGGUGGUUAUUUAAGUCAGAUGUGAAAGCCCCGGGCUUAACCUGGGAACUGCAUCUGAUACUGGAUAACUAGAGUAGGUGAGAGGGGAGUAGAAUUCCAGGUGUAGCGGUGAAAUGCGUAGAGAUCUGGAGGAAUACCGAUGGCGAAGGCAGCUCCCUGGCAUCAUACUGACACUGAGGUGCGAAAGCGUGGGUAGCAAACAGGAUUAGAUACCCUGGUAGUCCACGCCGUAAACGAUGUCUACCAGUCGUUGGGUCUUUUAAAGACUUAGUGACGCAGUUAACGCAAUAAGUAGACCGCCUGGGGAGUACGGCCGCAAGGUUA